Molecule: ribosomal RNA, 527 nt
Filed under: uncultured bacterium
Lineage: Bacteria
Description: bacterial SSU rRNA
Rfam family: Bacterial small subunit ribosomal RNA
Source: RNAcentral
AAUAGAUACCCGGGUAGUCCACGCCGUAAACGUUGGGCGCUAGAUGUGGGGACCAUUCCACGGUUUCCGUGUCGCAGCUAACGCAUUAAGCGCCCCGCCUGGGGAGUACGGCCGCAAGGCUAAAACUCAAAGGAAUUGACGGGGGCCCGCACAAGCGGCGGAGCAUGCGGAUUAAUUCGAUGCAACGCGAAGAACCUUACCAAGGCUUGACAUAUACCUGAAAAGGCUGGAAACAGUCUCCCCGCAAGGCAGGUAUACAGGUGGUGCAUGGUUGUCGUCAGCUCGUGUCGUGAGAUGUUGGGUUAAGUCCCGCAACGAGCGCAACCCUCGUUCUAUGUUGCCAGCACGUCAUGGUGGGAACUCAUAGGAGACUGCCGGGGUCAACUCGGAGGAAGGUGGGGAUGACGUCAAAUCAUCAUGCCCCUUAUGUCUUGGGCUUCACGCAUGCUACAAUGGCCGGUACAAAGGGCUGCAAUACCGUAAGGUGGAGCGAAUCCCAAAAAGCCGGUCUCAGUUCGGAUUGAGGU